RNAcentral lists this unclassified non-coding RNA (408 nucleotides) under soil metagenome. Its description in RNAcentral is "partial contains 5.8S ribosomal RNA, internal transcribed spacer 2, and large subunit ribosomal RNA". The stretch from base 1 to 120 matches the Rfam family "5.8S ribosomal RNA", at positions 35 to 154 of the family's 154-position model. The record is from RNAcentral.
GAUGAAGAACGUAGUGAAAUGCGAUAAGUAAUGUGAAUUGCAGAAUUCAGUGAAUCAUCGAAUCUUUGAACGCACCUUGCGCUCCUUGGCAUUCUGAGGAGCAUGCCUGUUUGAGUGUCAUUAAAUUCUCAAGACCUGUCUGCUUUUUUGAUAGGUAUUGGAUUUUGGGGGUUGCAGGCUGUUUCAAAUAAAUAGCCUUGCUCUCCUUGAAUGUAUUAGUGGAGAAAAGCCAUUGAACUCCAUUGGUGUGAUAAAACCUAUCAAUGCCAGGAGCAAUAUCACUACUUCUCUCUGCUGUCUAACUGUGACUGUCUGUAUUAAUUAGUAUGGAUGGGGACAACUUGACCAACUUGACCUCAAAUCAGGUAGGACUACCCGCUGAACUUAAGCAUAUCAAUAAGCGGAGGA